GACGAACGCUGGCGGCGUGCUUAACACAUGCAAGUCGAACGGUGAACGAGGGAGCUUGCUCCCUCCGGAUCAGUGGCGAACGGGUGAGUAACACGUGAGCAAUCUGCCCCGAACUCUGGGAUAAGCGUUGGAAACGACGUCUAAUACCGGAUACGACGCGGGAGGGCAUCCUCUCCGCGUGGAAAGAACUUCGGUUCGGGAUGAGCUCGCGGCCUAUCAGCUUGUUGGUGGGGUAACGGCUCACCAAGGCGACGACGGGUAGCCGGCCUGAGAGGGUGACCGGCCACACUGGGACUGAGACACGGCCCAGACUCCUACGGGAGGCAGCAGUGGGGAAUAUUGCACAGUGGGCGCAAGCCUGAUGCAGCAACGCCGCGUGAGGGACGACGGCCUUCGGGUUGUAAACCUCUUUUAGCAGGGAAGAAGCGAAAGUGACGGUACCUGCAGAAAAAGCACCGGCUAACUACGUG
This 470-nucleotide ribosomal RNA is filed under the name uncultured bacterium. Its description in RNAcentral is "partial 16S ribosomal RNA". It matches the Rfam family "Bacterial small subunit ribosomal RNA", at positions 28 to 507 of the family's 1533-position model. The record is from RNAcentral.